CCCGCACAAGCGGUGGAGCAUGUGGUUUAAUUCGAUGCAACGCGAAGAACCUUACCUACUCUUGACAUCCAGAGAAUUUGCUAGAGAUAGCUUAGUGCCUUCGGGAACUCUGAGACAGGUGCUGCAUGGCUGUCGUCAGCUCGUGUUGUGAAAUGUUGGGUUAAGUCCCGCAACGAGCGCAACCCCUAUUGUUAGUUGCCAUCAUUCAGUUGGGCACUCUAGCGAGACUGCCGGUAAUAAACCGGAGGAAGUGGGGAUGACGUCAAAUCAUCAUGCCCCUUAUGACCUGGGCUACACACGUGCUACAAUGGUUGGUACAACGAGUUGCGAGUCGGUGACGGCGAGCUAAUCUCUUAAAGCCAAUCUCAGUUCGGAUUGUAGGCUGCAACUCGCCUACAUGAAGUCGGAAUCGCUAGUAAUCGCGGAUCAGCACGCCGCGGUGAAUACGUUCCCGGGCCUU
Molecule: ribosomal RNA, 460 nt
Filed under: uncultured Enterobacteriaceae bacterium
Lineage: Bacteria; Pseudomonadati; Pseudomonadota; Gammaproteobacteria; Enterobacterales; Enterobacteriaceae
Description: bacterial SSU rRNA
Rfam family: Bacterial small subunit ribosomal RNA
Source: RNAcentral